RNAcentral lists this ribosomal RNA (274 nucleotides) under uncultured Hyphomicrobiales bacterium. RNAcentral describes it as "uncultured Rhizobiales bacterium partial 16S ribosomal RNA". It matches the Rfam family "Bacterial small subunit ribosomal RNA", at positions 56 to 358 of the family's 1533-position model. Lineage: Bacteria; Pseudomonadati; Pseudomonadota; Alphaproteobacteria; Hyphomicrobiales. The record is from RNAcentral.
UGCAGUCGAGCGGCCCUCGCAUACCGCAACGGCAGACGGGAGAGUCCACGUGGGAACGUGCCUUUCAGUUCCGAACAAGCCCAGGGAAACUUGGGCUAAUACCGGAUACGCCCUUACUGGGAAAGAUUUAUCGCCGAAAGAUCGGCCCGCGUCUGAUUAGCUAGUUGGUGGGGUAACGGCUCACCAAGGCGACCAUCAGUAGCUGGUCUGAGAGGAUGAUCAGCCUCACUGGGACUGAGACACAGACCACACUCCUACGGGAGGCAACAGUGGG